RNAcentral lists this ribosomal RNA (380 nucleotides) under uncultured bacterium. RNAcentral's name for it is "bacterial SSU rRNA". It matches the Rfam family "Bacterial small subunit ribosomal RNA", at positions 29 to 404 of the family's 1533-position model. The record is from RNAcentral.
AGUGAACGCUGGCGGCAGGCCUAAUACAUGCAAGUCGAACGGCAGCACAGCAGAGCUUGCUCUGUGGGUGGCGAGUGGCGGACGGGUGAGGAAUACAUGGGAAUCUGCCCAGUCGUGGGGGAUAACGUAUGGAAACGUACGCUAAUACCGCAUGCGCCCUACGGGGGAAAGUCGGGGACCGCAAGGCCUGGCGCGAUUGGAUGAGCCCAUGUUCGAUUAGCUAGUUGGCGGGGUAAAGGCCCACCAAGGCGACGAUCGAUAGCUGGUCUGAGAGGAUGAUCAGCCACACUGGAACUGAGACACGGUCCAGACUCCUACGGGAGGCAGCAGUGGGGAAUUUUGGACAAUGGGCGCAAGCCUGAUCCAGCAAUGCCGCGUGC